CUCGUGAUCCGCCCGCCUCUGCCUCCCAAAGUGCUAGGAUUACAGGCGUGAGCCACCGCGCCCGGCCAAAUGAAGCGUCCAUUGACCGGGAACUUUCUUUCUUCCUCUGGGUGUGAGGCCUAGUGUCUCAGAGGAUGAACGCACGACGGAAAAGAGUAGGGAACAUUUUGCUUGAUGAGAAAAUCCGCCAGCAAGGAUGUUGGGCUCUAAGCAGAACUGAAGCUCUGGAAUUAAGAACACAGCCAAGGAAGAGCUCUGGACUCUGAGUUUAAAGAAGCUGACUGACUUGUAAGGCAAUUCCAGGUAAGAUUGGUGAAUCAAGUUAAGAAUCAAAAGCAACUGAGAUCAACGUGGAGGCCUGGAAGGUAAGGGCCAUAUUUUACCUAGAUACUAGCUUAG
This 399-nucleotide long non-coding RNA is filed under the name Homo sapiens (human). RNAcentral's name for it is "non-protein coding LINC01290:2". Lineage: Eukaryota; Metazoa; Chordata; Mammalia; Primates; Hominidae. The record is from RNAcentral.